CUGCUGCCUUCCGUAGGAGUCUGGGCCGUGUCUCAGUCCCAGUGUGGCCGGUCACCCUCUCAGGUCGGCUACUGAUCGUCGGCUUGGUGGGCCGUUACCCCGCCAACUACCUAAUCAGACGCGGGUCCAUCCCAUACCACCGGAGUUUUGACCCCUGUGCCAUGCGGCACUGUGGUCUUAUGCGGUAUUAGCACUCAUUUCUGAAUGUUAUCCCCCGGUAUGGGGCAGGUUACCCACGCGUUACUCACCCGUCCGCCACU
Molecule: ribosomal RNA, 260 nt
Filed under: uncultured bacterium
Lineage: Bacteria
Description: partial 16S ribosomal RNA
Source: RNAcentral